This 1452-nucleotide ribosomal RNA is filed under the name Clostridium botulinum F. RNAcentral's name for it is "bacterial SSU rRNA". It matches the Rfam family "Bacterial small subunit ribosomal RNA". The record is from RNAcentral. Lineage: Bacteria; Bacillati; Bacillota; Clostridia; Eubacteriales; Clostridiaceae.
AUCCUGGCUCAGGACGAACGCUGGCGGCGUGCUUAACACAUGCAAGUCGAGCGAUGAAGCUUCCUUCGGGAAGUGGAUUAGCGGCGGACGGGUGAGUAACACGUGGGUAACCUGCCUCAAAGUGGGGGAUAGCCUUCCGAAAGGRAGAUUAAUACCGCAUAAUAUAAGAGAAUCGCAUGAUUUUCUUAUCAAAGAUUUAUUGCUUUGAGAUGGACCCGCGGCGCAUUAGCUAGUUGGUAAGGUAACGGCUUACCAAGGCAACGAUGCGUAGCCGACCUGAGAGGGUGAUCGGCCACAUUGGAACUGAGACACGGUCCAGACUCCUACGGGAGGCAGCAGUGGGGAAUAUUGCGCAAUGGGGGAAACCCUGACGCAGCAACGCCGCGUGGGUGAUGAAGGUCUUCGGAUUGUAAAGCCCUGUUUUCUAGGACGAUAAUGACGGUACUAGAGGAGGAAGCCACGGCUAACUACGUGCCAGCAGCCGCGGUAAUACGUAGGUGGCGAGCGUUGUCCGGAUUUACUGGGCGUAAAGGGUGCGUAGGCGGAUGUUUAAGUGGGAUGUGAAAUCCCCGGGCUUAACCUGGGGGCUGCAUUCCAAACUGGAUAUCUAGAGUGCAGGAGAGGAAAGCGGAAUUCCUAGUGUAGCGGUGAAAUGCGUAGAGAUUAGGAAGAACACCAGUGGCGAAGGCGGCUUUCUGGACUGUAACUGACGCUGAGGCACGAAAGCGUGGGUAGCAAACAGGAUUAGAUACCCUGGUAGUCCACGCCGUAAACGAUGGAUACUAGGUGUAGGGGGUAUCAACUCCCCCUGUGCCGCAGUUAACACAAUAAGUAUCCCGCCUGGGGAGUACGGUCGCAAGAUUAAAACUCAAAGGAAUUGACGGGGGCCCGCACAAGCAGCGGAGCAUGUGGUUUAAUUCGAAGCAACGCGAAGAACCUUACCUGGACUUGACAUCCCUUGCAUAGCCUAGAGAUAGGUGAAGCCCUUCGGGGCAAGGAGACAGGUGGUGCAUGGUUGUCGUCAGCUCGUGUCGUGAGAUGUUAGGUUAAGUCCUGCAACGAGCGCAACCCUUGUUAUUAGUUGCUACCAUUAAGUUGAGCACUCUAAUGAGACUGCCUGGGUAACCAGGAGGAAGGUGGGGAUGACGUCAAAUCAUCAUGCCCCUUAUGUCCAGGGCUACACACGUGCUACAAUGGUAGGUACAAUAAGACGCAAGACCGUGAGGUGGAGCAAAACUUAUAAAACCUAUCUCAGUUCGGAUUGUAGGCUGCAACUCGCCUACAUGAAGCUGGAGUUGCUAGUAAUCGCGAAUCAGAAUGUCGCGGUGAAUACGUUCCCGGGCCUUGUACACACCGCCCGUCACACCAUGAGAGCUGGUAACACCCGAAGUCCGUGAGGUAACCGUAAGGAGCCAGCGGCCGAAGGUGGGAUUAGUGAUUGGGGUGAAGUCG